This 525-nucleotide ribosomal RNA is filed under the name uncultured bacterium. Its description in RNAcentral is "partial 16S ribosomal RNA". It matches the Rfam family "Bacterial small subunit ribosomal RNA", at positions 28 to 523 of the family's 1533-position model. The record is from RNAcentral.
GACGAACGCUGGCGGCGUGCCUAAUACAUGCAAGUCGAGCGCAGGAAACCGUUCCGAACCCUUCGGGGGGACGACGGUGGAAUGAGCGGCGGACGGGUGAGUAACACGUAAAGAACCUGCCCAUAGGUCUGGGAUAACCACGAGAAAUCGGGGCUAAUACCGGAUGUGUCAUCGGACCGCAUGGUCCGCUGAUGAAAGGCGCUCCGGCGUCGCCCAUGGAUGGCUUUGCGGUGCAUUAGCUAGUUGGUGGGGUAAUGGCCCACCAAGGCGACGAUGCAUAGCCGACCUGAGAGGGUGAUCGGCCACACUGGGACUGAGACACGGCCCAGACUCCUACGGGAGGCAGCAGUAGGGAAUCUUCCACAAUGGACGAAAGUCUGAUGGAGCAACGCCGCGUGAACGAUGAAGGCUUUCGGGUCGUAAAGUUCUGUUGUAAGGGAAGAACAAGUGCCGCAGGCAAUGGCGGCACCUUGACGGUACCUUGCGAGAAAGCCACGGCUAACUACGUGCCAGCAGCCGCCGUAA